Molecule: unclassified non-coding RNA, 617 nt
Filed under: Osbeckia australiana
Lineage: Eukaryota; Viridiplantae; Streptophyta; Magnoliopsida; Myrtales; Melastomataceae
Description: partial may contain 26S ribosomal RNA, external transcribed spacer, 18S ribosomal RNA
Source: RNAcentral
AGGCUCGUUCGCGGCGCGUCCCUUCCUCCCGGUCCCCCCUCCGUUCUGGAGGGGGCGUCGGGUGGGGGGGCGUUUGCCCGUUCAGCGUUGGGACGACGCAUUAGUGGCAAAUCAGGAUUUGUCUCCGCGGCGGGCUCCGUGCUUCGGGCACCGAACUGCCUCGGUCCUAUCCGUUUCAUUUAAUCGCUCGCCCCGUGUGUCGGUCGCGGGCGCUGGGUGGGUUCCUGCGCCAGAUACCCGGCUGCGGUAGCCGGAUUCGUUGUCGUCCCUGAUUGGUUCCCUUGUCCCCACACCGCACCCAGUGCGUUGGGGGAUGCCGUGCGGGUGUCGUCGCUCCCCGUCCGGUCGGUCGCCCUACUCCUGGGCCUUUCCGCCCGCGUCGGUGCGCGAUGCCGUCCGCGUGCUCUCGGGUACGGUGAAAGCUCUUGAUAUCGCGCGGUCCCUCGUUGUCCGUGCGAUCCCUACGUGACGAACCUCUGCUUCCGCUCGGGGGACGCUAGUGCUUCCCUCGGGGCUCGCGGAGCCUCUCCGCUCCGCGCUCGUCCUUUGGGUCGCGUCGAGGUCCUAUAAGUGAAUGCUACCUGGUUGAUCCUGCCAGUAGGUUUUUUUUAAGCUGC